RNAcentral lists this ribosomal RNA (169 nucleotides) under uncultured bacterium. RNAcentral describes it as "partial 16S ribosomal RNA". It matches the Rfam family "Bacterial small subunit ribosomal RNA", at positions 338 to 524 of the family's 1533-position model. The record is from RNAcentral.
CCUACGGGAGGCAGCAGUGGGGGAUAUUGCGCAAUGGGCGAAAGCCUGACGCAGCAACGCCGCGUGAACGAGGAAGCUCUUCGGAGUGUAAAGUUCUGUCCUAUGGGAAGAAGAUGACGGUACCAUAGGAGGAAGCCCCGGCUAACUACGUGCCAGCAGCCGCGGUAAU